Molecule: ribosomal RNA, 663 nt
Filed under: Plasmodium ovale wallikeri
Lineage: Eukaryota; Apicomplexa; Aconoidasida; Haemosporida; Plasmodiidae
Description: SSU rRNA
Rfam family: Eukaryotic small subunit ribosomal RNA
Source: RNAcentral
UUUACUUUUUGUACUGGAGAUUUUGUUACUUUGAGUAAAUUAGAGUGUUCAAAGCAAACAGUUAAAGCAUUUUACUGCGUUUGAAUACUACAGCAUGGAAUAACAAAAUUGAACAAGUCAAAACUCUGUUCCUUUUUCUUAUUUUGGCUUAGUUACGAUUAAUAGGAGUAGCUUGGGGGCAUUUGUAUUCAGAUGUCAGAGGUGAAAUUCUUAGAUUUUCUGGAGACAAACAACUGCGAAAGCAUUUGCCUAAAAUACUUCCAUUAAUCAAGAACGAAAGUUAAGGGAGUGAAGACGAUCAGAUACCGUCGUAAUCUUAACCAUAAACUAUGCCGACUAGGUUUUGGAUGAAAGAUUUUUAAAUAAGAAAAUUCCUUUUGGAAAUUUCUUAGAUUGCUUCCUUCAGUACCUUAUGAGAAAUCAAAGUCUUUGGGUUCUGGGGCGAGUAUUCGCGCAAGCGAGAAAGUUAAAAGAAUUGACGGAAGGGCACCACCAGGCGUGGAGCUUGCGGCUUAAUUUGACUCAACACGGGGAAACUCACUAGUUUAAGACAAGAGUAGGAUUGACAGAUUAAUAGCUCUUUCUUGAUUUCUUGGAUGGUGAUGCAUGGCCGUUUUUAGUUCGUGAAUAUGAUUUGUCUGGUUAAUUCCGAUAACGAACGAG